Molecule: ribosomal RNA, 300 nt
Filed under: uncultured bacterium
Lineage: Bacteria
Description: bacterial SSU rRNA
Rfam family: Bacterial small subunit ribosomal RNA
Source: RNAcentral
GGAUUAGAUACCCUGGUAGUCCACGCCGUAAACGAUGGGCACUAGGUGUUGGUUUUACCUUCGGGUGAAAUCGGUGCCGCAGCUAACGCAUUAAGUGCCCCACCUGGGAAGUACGCCCGCAAGGGUGAAACUCAAAGGAAUUGACGGGGGCCCGCACAAGCGGUGGAGCAUGUGGUUUAAUUCGAUGCAACGCGCAGAACCUUACCGGGGCUUAAACUGCUAGGUAAACCCUAUGAAAGUAGGACUGAUCUUCGGAUCGACCUAGUAGAGGUGCUGCAUGGCUGUCGUCAGCUCGUGUUG